Molecule: long non-coding RNA, 8256 nt
Filed under: Eucalyptus grandis
Lineage: Eukaryota; Viridiplantae; Streptophyta; Magnoliopsida; Myrtales; Myrtaceae
Description: long non-coding RNA (EGRA_LNC003186)
Source: RNAcentral
UCGAGGAUCCGACGGACACUCUUCUUCCAACAAUGAAGAUAGGAGUAAAUGUCAGGACUGGAGUGAAAAAGUCUUUAAUUUCCUGGAGAAGCGACAGUGAUCCAUUCCCUGGAAGUUUCUCGACUGGAAUGACAUCCGAGACGCCACCUCAAGCUUUCACUUGGAAUGGUUCGACCCCUUACUGGAGAAGCGGGCAAUGGGACAAAUCAAAAUUUAUCGGCAUAUCAACCAUGGACCAAUCAUACUCGAGUGGCUUCACUGUCCAGCAGGAUACUCAGCAGGGAACCACUAACUUUUCAAUGAAUAGAUACAAUUUCUUUGGAUACAUGUUCAUUUCUCCCGGAGGAUCUCUCAAGAUAAUGUACUGGGAUGAUGGAGCUAAGGCAUGGUUGAUGGAUUGGGCAGCACCGAACAAUACUUGUGAGAUUUAUGGAACUUGUGGUCCAUUUGGAGUUUGUAACUCACUGAAUUCGCCUAUUUGCAGAUGCAUAGAUGGGUUUGUGCCAAAGUCAAAUGAAGAAUGGAACAGUGGAAACUGGACCAGAGGAUGUGUAAGAGAGAUGGAAUUGAAUUGCCAGAAAAACACAAGCACAUCGACUUCUACAAACGUAAAGAAAGAUGCAUUUUGGCAAAUGAGCCAGAUGAAACUACCCGACUCUGGGAACUAUAUAUCAGACAUUGGAGAUGAAGAAGAAUGUGAAAGCUGGUGCGGGAGCAAUUGUUCUUGCUUGGCUUAUUCUUACGUCAGCACCAUUGGAUGCAUGGUUUGGAGUAAAGACCUCAUUGAUCUUCAGGAAUUUCCCACAGAUGGGGAAGAUCUAUUUGUUCGAGUUGCACAUGUAAAAGCAGGUUAGAAAUUGUUUCAUUAAGAUGAGUUUGAGUCGACACCAAUCAUCUUUUACAUAACUCUCUUUCCCAUUUCAGGAGGAUCGUGGCACAAAGCAGUUAUCAUCAGCCUAAGUACUAUUGCAGGGAUUAUGUUCUUUGCAGUAUUUGUUUUUGUUCUUUGCAAAUGGAGAGCUAACAAAACAGGUACACCUGAAAAAUCGACGGAGCUGACACAAGGAAAUGCAUGGAAAAAGCAGUUGAAGCAAGAUGAUUCACUGGAAUUGACCCUUUAUAGUUUUGAUAGCAUACUACUUGCUACAAACAAGUUCAGCACGACAAGUAAACUCGGGCAAGGAGGGUUUGGCUCUGUUUAUAAGGUAAGACCAUUCUGCAGGACAUUGUUAAUGAAAAUAUUUCAAGGUCUAAAAGCUAUGUGAAUUGCGAAACAGGGGAAGCUGAAAGAUGGGAAAGAGGUAGCUGUGAAAAGACUUUCCAGUACCUCAGCCCAAGGCGUUGAAGAGUUCAAGAAUGAGAUCAUCCUUAUAUCGAAACUCCAGCAUCGAAAUCUUGUUAAACUCGUGGGUUACUGCAUUGAAGGAGAAGAAAAGAUUUUGUUAUAUGAGUACUUGUCGAAUAAAAGCUUGGACACCUUUCUUUUUGGUUGGUCUUUUUUUUUUUUUUUUUUUUUAUCUCGGAUUAACUAUUUUUCUAUAAUGUAUUUUCUGCCAUAGCAUAUAAACUUGAAAACUAUUCCUGUCUGUCAUGUUUGUUAGAUUCAAGAAAGAAGGCAGAACUUGACUGGGGCAAACGAUUUCAAAUAAUUCAGGAGAUUGCAAGGGGGCUGCUCUACCUCCAUCGAGAUUCUUGCCUUAGGGUCAUACAUCGAGACUUGAAAGUAAGCAACAUUCUCUUGGAUGAAAAGAUGAACCCGAAAAUUUCAGAUUUUGGGCUAGCACGAAUGUUUGAGGGCACUCAAGUUUUGGUGAACACUCAAAAAAUUGUUGGAACACUGUAAGCUCUCUAGGCCUAUUUGAAUUAUCAAUUCAUUGAGUCAAUCUCUUCAAGCAGACAGAAAUGAUUGAUUUACCACAACGAACAUCUCUGUUCAUGCAUGUUUUAUCCCCAUUGUCUAUCGAUACAAUCAAAGAGUACAUAAUGUGUUUAACUUAACUGCAGUGGCUAUAUGUCUCCUAAGUACGCCAUGGGUGGAAUAUUUUUCGAGAGGUCUGAUGUCUAUAGCUUCGGAGUGUUGCUACUGGAGAUAGUAAGCGGCAAAAAGAACACGUCCCUGUAUGACUAGGGAUAUCUGAAUCUCCUUUCCUACGUACGUCCCAAAUUCCAAACUUAAUCAAUAUCGUAAGUUUGAUGCAAUAUUAUGACAGUGUUCUCACUUACAGGCAUGGCAAUUGUGGAGUGAUGGCAAAGCAUUGGACCUAACAGAUGUAGCAAUGGCCGUUAGCUCUCCUUUGGAGGUAACAAGAUGCGUCCAUGUUGGGCUUCUAUGUGUUCAGGACCAUGCCACGGAUAGACCAAACAUGUCGAAUGUGGUUAUGAUGUUAAGUGGCGAGUCAGAUCUUCCUCAGCCGAGGCAGCCUAUAUUCACUUUCCAAGCUGAAAUGCCAAAUCGUUCUAAUCCAUCACAGCAAGAAAGCAUCCAGUCUGUUAACACUAUCACUAAUACAGUGGUCGAAGGAAGAUGACUAUCUAUUUUCGUUUUUCUUUUUCUUUUUUUUGGAGAUGACUUUGUUGUUAUUUUUUAAGAUUUUAGUGUUAAUUCAAUUCAAGGAUGGCUUUAGUCCACUCUGAAUAGAAGGGUCGAAUGGGCUGCUCCACUUUAUACAAGGAUUUUAGGCUGCAAACUAGGGGUUUAAAUUGUGUACUUUUUUAACGGAACAUAAUCAAUGCAGCAAUUUGUUCUAAUUUACAGUAGCCAGAACUGUUGUUAUAAUUAAGGAGAACUACCGAGUAAUUGCCAUCACUCUCAUCACCAGUUGCAUUUUGAAGAUUCGAUUUCCUUGGUUUUUGGACGAAAGAUAUCAUUACCAAAGAUAGACUAAAGUCCCCCCCCCCUCGCCAAGAGAAGCAUGAGCAUUGGCAUAGGACAAAGUAUUUCCAGCUUCAGUAUGAUCCCCAUAUAUGAAUUACCUGCUUCAAAUUUGAUAAGAAGUCAUCUAUGUCUGCGGCAAUUAAAUGUCAGCUAGUGAUCAAUUCAUUGACUGAACAAUUCAAUUCGGAAAAGCUUCGCAUGAAAAUGGAAGGCUAAUGUCAGCUAGUGAUCAAAAUCGGAGCUAUGUGAUCCUUAAACUGAAGAGCUGAAGAGUUCCCGGUUUGUUUGGAACCCAUAUAAUAUCUAGCUUCAUUGAACAUUAAACUUUUGAGGAAAAUUAACUUAUUAAUCCUAAACCUAUUGUAGAAAUGUGAAUUCAUUCCAUUUUUUUUUUAAUUUUGCAAAUUUAAUCCCUAUGCAAAAUUCCAAUGUAGUCAUUCUAGACAAUUUUUGUUGGAAAUCGCUAGCAACGGCGAUGACUAGAUUAUUACAUUAGUGAUUUUUAGCAAAAAUUAGCCGGAAAGACAGAGUAUUUUUUGCAAAGGUUAAUUUGGCAAAAUUGAAAAGUUUUGGACGGAAUUGACAUUUGUGUAACAGAUUUAGGGUUAAUUGGACUAUUUCCGCAAAACUUGUGUUAUUGUAUUGACAAAACAUUUGGCCAACAAGUUUCAUCCGAAGCCGUUUUGACCCCUCUUAUUAUUAUUUGUACAUUUUAAAGUACAGUCAACGUGGAACAACGGUCAAGAGAAGAACGCCGACUUUAUUGGCUUCUCAUCCAAAAAAACAUUUUUUAAAAGCCAACAUUUGACUCACGAUGAAGCUUCUAUUGCAUAAUCUAGACUGACUUGUCAAACUGCAAUGACAUCCUAAUCUCUUGGCAUUCUGGAAAUGCAUAUGAACUGGCAUAGGCAUCAUCAGCUUCCGAUAUAAAGCUAAUUUUGUAUGAUAACAAGACAUCUGAAGCUAUCUCUAAGAGGAUUUAUGGCCUCACACCUUUGGCAAAGUGUAUCGGUUUGCAAAAAUCUCGCCUUCCUGUCAGAUCUGCAGGCAAAACCGAAAGGCGAAGAAUCAGGAGCCCCUUAACAUCCUGGAGUAAGCAACAACCAAACACAGUAGGCUCCUAUGACAAUGUUGCUUAAGAUGUGUCGCUACUCUUCCUUGGUCAUGGUCUUCCUUCUUCAGGCACAUCAUAGCACCGCAGUUUAUAACAUUACUGCAGCCGAACCACUUUUUUAGAACCGAACUCUUGUCUCCUCUUGUCAAACCUUUGAGCUCGGUUUCUUCACUCCCAACAGAUCAGCUAAUCAAUAUAUGGGCAUAUGGUACCAGAAUGGGACUCCUUCCAAGAUCAUCUGGGCGCCAAUAGAUAUACGCCGCUUGCAUAUUUAGAUCAUUCGGCAAAAUUAACAAUAGGCAGGGAUGGGAAUCUGAAGCUUGGUGGAUGAGCAACAUAAGGUAGUUUGGUCCACCAAUGUUUCUGUUCAGUCAGACCAUACUACAACAAUGCUUUCAGAUGUAGUAAACUUUGUUCUACAAGAUGGGAAUUCCAUUGAAAUAUGGGCAAGCUUUGAUGAUCCAACUGAUACUUGAUAAAGCUAGUACUAACACCUAGGGGGAGGGGGGGGGGGUGAAUAGGUAUUUGAAAGAAAUCUUAACAAAUAAAAUAAAUUGCUUGCAAAGUCUAGAUGAAGAUCAGAAUCACAAGAUUCCAAACUUCUAUGAUAUUCAGAAAGUGUGCAAUAGACUUUAAAUGAAUGAGAUAAAGAGAGAAAUGUACACACAAAUUUUAUAGUGGUUCGGCUUAAAUCAAGCCUACGUCUACUAUCCCAGGCUGAUAGCCUACUCGCUAGAUUCCAAUUACAACUUGGUGAGCAAACAGUCAAUGGUAGAAAUUUUCUAACUCACUAAGAGACUCAUUUUUUGUUUUCUCUCUAGAUCACACUUUUUAAAGCUCAUAGAUGAAAACUAAUAAAAUGAGAGUAGCCUUUGACUUUGGAAUCUCAAAUUCACGUUCCCACACCAAAUAAACUCCUUUAAAUACUCCUUCACCCCAUACUAGCUCUUGGUAAUCUUCGGAGAAACUUUUUUCUAAUCAAGCCAUUGGACAUAAUCAAUUAAAGGAAUCUUGUGGCCGUUGAAGUUAGGAAUAGAAUUUCCACUUGAUUAUGUUCGCCUAUAUAAUCAGAAUCUUGGUUUCCAUAAAUAGAUACUUCCCAAAAAGAAAGUUGUCUUCAAGAUUGAUUUUUUCAAUUUGUGAUAGAUUUUAUCAACGAAUUUAUAUAAGGUAAGUGAAAUCCUUUGCUAGAAAGCUAGACGAUGUAGAAUAAUUUCCUGAUAAGUUCAUUCUGGAUCUGUGUCGCAAAAUCGAUCAAUUUGAAUAUGUACUCUUCCUCAUUUUUUACAUGAUCUCAUUCUGGACUUUGUUAGAAUGGGAAGAGUUUCUGAGAAUUAAUAGACUUUUCUAGAGGCAAGGCCUGAUCAGGUGAGGGCAAACCCUAGUGAGGGAUCCCCUCACCCAAGCCAUGGCAACCUUGUUGGGUGUCACCUUUGCUUAGGCAACACUCGGCGAGGGCUGGCCUUGCUAGAUCUAACAAAAGGAGCCCUCGCUUGAUUGAGUGUCGCCUUUGGUGAGUGAUGGUAACCCUCGCCCAAGUGAGGCCAACUCACCCGGCUAUGGCCAGUGGCCAAUCACCGACAAAAGGAAGAAGAAAAGAAGAAAAAAAAUUAUUAAAAAUUAUUCAUGUCAAUAAUAUCCGGUUAAAAUUAGCCACCUGAUAAAGCGUCGACUUUGGUGAGUGACAAUUCCUUCACCCAAGUGAGGCCAACUCACCUGGUAAUGGCCAGUGGCCGAUCACCGACAAAAGGAAGAAGAAAGGAAGAAAAAAAAUUAUUAAAAAUUAUUCAUGUCAAUAAUAUCCGGUUAAAAUUAGUUUUUUUUUUUUUUGGUAAAGGUAAAAAGUUUAUAACUAAAUUAACACAAUUGAAAGGUUUAAAACUAAAUUGGCACAAAUGUAAUAAGUUUAUGAUUUUUCUAACACUUUUCCCUUGAUUUUUUUGUAUCAUUACUAAACUCUUAUGUCUAACGUGCAUACCAAAUCACAAUUUUGUUUGGGGGGUGUAGUUAAUUUACAAUGUAAAGAUUUUUAUAAAAUGGUUUUCAAACUUUCCUGUAUUUAGUUUGUUGAGAGUAAGGUAAAAAGAAACGCUUUCAUGUUUUUGGAUUGCCAAAAACUCUCUAUUGGUAUUCCCUCCUCUUUGUUUAUUUACCGUGGUAUCACUCUUCGAUUUCUUUUUGGGAAUGGAGAACCAUUCUCAUGUGAAGUUUUAUGAGAAUUGAAAGAUUAAGUUUGUAAAUUAUUACAUUUAUCUUUUUUGGCAUCCUUUUUAGGUUGCUUUGUUCCAAUAAAAAAAGUAAUAUUCAUAACUAAAUAUUAGUAACAUCAUCUUAGUAUCUUAUAUUAAGAACAAAAUAUGAUUAUCAUAAAAGUGAUAUAUUUUUUAAAAUAAGAUCUAAACACCGAACCCCGAUUCAAGCAAGAGUUUCUCUAGUCGGUGUCGUGGUCCAGUCAAUGCCCCUCUGUCAAGAAGGCUGUUUCUAUGGUCGCUCAAUAGUACACAUCAAUUGACCUGAGAACAUAGUGUCAAGAAGAAACGCACCCUACUAUAUUAGCUAGUGAACAUAGAUCUAUGUUCAUCAGCUAAUAUAUAAGUAGAUCUAGUCAUGUAUCGAAUCAACUAUGAGAGUAGCAAUGCACUAGGUCAAGGCUCGGGUAGGAAGCGGAGGGUGCAAAGGGCUUUGCAGGGUCAGCCGAGAGCAAUUUUUUGGUGAGCCCAAACAAAUCAAGACUAAAUUUUAUGGGCUCAAUCAAUGGCCUAGACUUAAAUCACAAAUUCGGCUGAAUCGGUUUAGUUCGGUGGGGCUAUUUUAGGUCAAAGCCCGACUUUUCCAAGAAUGAAGUUUGUUUAUUUAUUGUCAAAUUUGAAAACUUCGACAAGCACAAUCAAAAUAAGCCUUUUAAGGUACUAUGAGAACUUGUUUAAGGUUCAAUAAUCAAAUAUAACUCAUCUACUUAAAUUGCUUAGUGAACUCAUCUCAAAGUUUGGUUUAAUAUAAAUUAAAAGUAAUUAAAAGUAUAAAAGCAAUAUUGUACAUCCAACGUACAAUUAAUAAUGAUAGUAAUAAUAAAAGGCCAUUGGUUUUGGUUGGAAGAACUAUUCAGAGUUCACGUACAAUCACUUAAAGGUAGUGCUUAGACCAAAAUAGAUACUUACGAUUUGACCUUUCCUCAGCACUACUGUGUUUACGUACGGAACCUUCACCCGCGUUCUCUCGCCAACCCAAAUCGCAUAGCCUUAAGUCAUUUGAUUGCACCACACUUGGACUUCGUUCGAUGUCUUGGUUAACAAGUAAGCAAUUCGAAUUUGUGAACUGAAAUGUGAACUGUGACGCAGUCAAAUUUGAACAACGCCGGGGAACAACCCCCACGUUGAACAGUCAAUGAAGAUGUGGUCUUCUGAAAACCCUCGUGUUUCAGCCCCCUUUGAGCACAAAGGCCUCUUUGCUCACAGGAAAUCUCGUUCAUCUAUCCUUAAAUCUGCAGAAAGUGCAGAAUCAACCGAUCCAGCGAACUCACUAGGUUCAUUCAGUCAUUCUUACCAUGCGGCUCUUGAUUUCUUGGUGCUCUUGCUCGGUCAUCUUCUGCCUACUUCAGGCAAGUCAUAGGGCCAGCGGUGUAGCUUACAAUAUUACUCCAUCGGAGCCGCUCUUUCCGAACCAAACUCUCGUCUCCUCUGGCAAUAUAUUCGAGCUUGGGUUCUUCACGCCACGCGGGUCAGAAAAUCAGUAUGUUGGCAUAUGGUACAAGAACUUGACGCCUUCUAAGAUCCUGUGGGUGGCCAAUAGGGAGCGGCCACUUGUGUACACAGAUUGGUCUGCAAAACUAACGAUAGACAGUGAUGGGAAUUUGAAGCUCAUGGAUGGACAAGAAAAUAUAGUUUGGUCUACCAAUGUCUCUAGUCCGUCCAGUUAUACAUCGGCGGCGCUAUUAGAUAGUGGGAAUUUUGUCCUGCAAGAUGGAAAUUAUAGCGAAAUAUGGGGAAGCUUCGAGGAUCCGACGGACACUCUUCUUCCAACAAUGAAGAUAGGAGUAAAUGUCAGGACUGGAGUGAAUUUAAUUUCCUGGAGAAGCGACAGUGAUCCAUUUCCUGGAAGUUUCUCGACUGGAGUGACAUCCGAGACGCCACCUCAAGCUUUCACUUGGAAUGGUUCGACCCCUUACUGGAGAAGCGGGCAAUGGGACAAAUCGAAAUUUAUCGGCAUAUCAACCAUGGACCAAUCAUACUCGAGUGGCUUCACUGUCCAGCAGGAUACUCAACAGGGA